RNAcentral lists this ribosomal RNA (293 nucleotides) under uncultured bacterium. RNAcentral's name for it is "partial 16S ribosomal RNA". It matches the Rfam family "Bacterial small subunit ribosomal RNA", at positions 775 to 1067 of the family's 1533-position model. The record is from RNAcentral.
GGAUUAGAUACCCUGGUAGUCCACGCCGUAAACGAUGAGAACUAGCCGUUGGGGUCUUUAAGACCUUCGUGGCGCAGCUAACGCGAUAAGUUCUCCGCCUGGGGAGUACGGCCGCAAGGUUAAAACUCAAAUGAAUUGACGGGGGCCCGCACAAGCGGUGGAGCAUGUUGUUUAAUUCGAUGCAACGCGAAAAACCUUACCACCCCUUGACAUCCUGUGGACUUUCUAGAGAUAGAUUGGUGCCUUCGGGAACGCAGUGACAGGUGCUGCAUGGCUGUCGUCAGCUCGUGCCG